CCACCGCCUUCAGUCUUUCGAGCCCUUUCGAGGAAUUCUCCCAUCGGGGCUUCUGCCCUGGAGGCCAAUCUUGAGAGGAUGUUAUGGAUAGAGAAGAGUAGGAGGGGGAAGACAGUGGCCUGCGAGUUCAGCGGCUGCCGAACUGUCACUAUGGGUUCCCACCACCUCGAAGGGGGCUCGAGGGAGAAUUUCUUCAACAACAAGGAUUUAAUAAUGGAACCA
RNAcentral lists this long non-coding RNA (222 nucleotides) under Elaeis guineensis (African oil palm). Its description in RNAcentral is "long non-coding RNA (EGUI_LNC070746)". Lineage: Eukaryota; Viridiplantae; Streptophyta; Magnoliopsida; Arecales; Arecaceae. The record is from RNAcentral.